This 581-nucleotide small RNA is filed under the name Pongo abelii (Sumatran orangutan). Its description in RNAcentral is "retained intron". The record is from RNAcentral. Lineage: Eukaryota; Metazoa; Chordata; Mammalia; Primates; Hominidae.
AGCACAUUGCACAGCAUCAAAAUUUAAUAUGACUAUUAAAAAAUAGUGCUUGUUUUUGGCAUGGGUUUUUGUCUACACAUUUUGAAAAUACACAAAGAAUAGUAAUCUUCUUGCUAAAAAAUGGUUUAUUAUUUUAGGUGGUGCAGGCAACAGGAGGCCCUGAACUAGCCAGUUCAGUACUUAGUCCCCUAUUGAAUAAGGACACAAUUGAUUUCUUAAAUUAUACUGUCAAUGGUGAUGAACGGCAGCUGUGGAUGUCAUUGGGAGGAACUUGGACAAAAGCCAGAGCAGAGUGGCCAAAAGAACAGUUUAUUCCACCAUAUGUUCCACGGUUCCGCAAUGGCUGGGAGCCCCCAAUGCUGAACUUUAUGGGAGCAACAAUGGAACAAGAUCUUUAUCAACUGGCAGAAUCUGUGGCAAAUGUAGCAGAACAUCAGCGCAAACAGGAAAUAAAAAGAUUAUCCACAGAGCAUUCCAGUGUAUCAGAGUAUCAUCCAGCCGAUGGCUAUGCAUUCAGUAGCAACAUUUACACAAGAGGAUCCCACCUGGACCAAGGGGAAGCUGCUGUUGCUUUUAAGCCA